AAAUAUGUGCAAAAUGAUUUUGGAUGCAGACCAACAGGGUGAAGAAUUCUUUUUUAAUGAUCUUUUUCAAUGAAUUGUAAGUUCAACUGACAGAUUGUACAUGCAAGAUUUCCCUUUCUUUUUCAGCCCUUAAACUCAGCUAAACUGUAGAUCAUUGUAUUAAGUUAUGUUUUGGUUGUUGUUUUGUAAACCAAAAAAAUGUUUCUGCAUAUUCGACAUGUGACUACAAUAAUUGAUGUUUUGUCAUUUGCUGCAUAGUGUGAUAAAUGAGUUAAACACAAGAAAAGAGUGACUUGACUGCACAGUGUAUAUUAUAGACAAUGUUAUGAAAGAAACUUCAUGAUAAACCUGAUGGAAACUGAAGUAUAAUAGAAAGUCAGCGCAUCAAAUGGUCAUUUCAUUUCAAGCAAUGGGUGUUUAUUCAGGAAAUCUCCUUUUAAGGACACAGUAAAAAAUUAAAUGAUGUUUUGUAACAUUUAAAACAAUUUUUAGUUAUAUCUUGUUGCACCUUUUUUGAUAGAAGAACGAAUAUUUGAAUGGAGAACAGACGUUUUUUGCAUUCUAAGUCAAAAUGAAAGGGUGUUGUUCAAGUUAAAGAAAUGUGUGAAAUAGAAUAGAGAAAAUUUCUUAUUGUAGAGAAAACUUAAAAUAUUAGAUGUUUAUAUUUUGAACAAAUGUCUACUAUUGCUCUUACUUUUGAGAUUACUUUCAAAGCUUGUUAAUGUUUUAGAUACAAAGGUCUUGGCCUGUACCAGACAUAUUUUUUUUAAAUUUUGUAACAUUUUAACAGUGGUAACUGCAAUUUACUUUUGUGUUCAUUUCUGACAGAAGGGAUGUAUACUUAGUAGAGGUAUCUUCUAGUUCUGCGUAUUUCUGUACUGUUGCAAUAUGCAUCCUUUUUCUUUAGUUGUAAAGUGAAAUUUUCAAAUUACUGGAUGCACUUAUGCCGAUGAUUUUGAUUUUUCCUCGGGGGGCGGCGGAGUGGGGAACAAUAUAUUAUAAUACAAUAAUAGAUCUGUCUACUUAAGUAGGUAAUGUGUUGUUAUUUGACUCUUGUAGCUUCUUAUUGUAAAUCCCAGGUAUUAAUGUUAGCAGGAAGGUAAAUAUAACAUCCCUAAUGCUUUAAUGGACACGAGUUUUUGUUGCACAUAAUGUCUUCAUGAUGUCAUUGUAAUAUUAAUAAAAGUGGUAUCUUCUUA
This is a long non-coding RNA of Mercenaria mercenaria, 1199 nucleotides long. RefSeq lists it as uncharacterized. NCBI's taxonomy places the organism in Eukaryota, Metazoa, Mollusca, Bivalvia, Venerida, Veneridae. The record is from RefSeq and is a predicted model, not a curated record. The transcript has 2 exons.